GUUCAGACGGGAGAGGCUGUAGCGAUUAUGUGCUUGUAACACUCAUAAGCGUAUAGCUUUUCCCCUUUGAAC
RNAcentral lists this microRNA precursor (72 nucleotides) under Zootermopsis nevadensis. Its description in RNAcentral is "mir-965 microRNA precursor family". It matches the Rfam family "mir-965 microRNA precursor family". The record is from Rfam by way of RNAcentral. Lineage: Eukaryota; Metazoa; Arthropoda; Insecta; Blattodea; Termopsidae.